RNAcentral lists this ribosomal RNA (669 nucleotides) under Trichoderma longibrachiatum. RNAcentral describes it as "eukaryotic LSU rRNA". The stretch from base 282 to 435 matches the Rfam family "5.8S ribosomal RNA". Lineage: Eukaryota; Fungi; Ascomycota; Sordariomycetes; Hypocreales; Hypocreaceae. The record is from RNAcentral.
UUGGAAGUAAAAAAUCGUAACAAGGUCUCCGUUGGUGAACCAGCGGAGGGAUCAUUACCGAGUUUACAACUCCCAAACCCCAAUGUGAACGUUACCAAUCUGUUGCCUCGGCGGGAUUCUCUUGCCCCGGGCGCGUCGCAGCCCCGGAUCCCAUGGCGCCCGCCGGAGGACCAACUCCAAACUCUUUUUUUCUCUCCGUCGCGGCUCCCGUCGCGGCUCUGUUUUAUUUUUGCUCUGAGCCUUUCUCGGCGACCCUAGCGGGCGUCUCGAAAAUGAAUCAAAACUUUCAACAACGGAUCUCUUGGUUCUGGCAUCGAUGAAGAACGCAGCGAAAUGCGAUAAGUAAUGUGAAUUGCAGAAUUCAGUGAAUCAUCGAAUCUUUGAACGCACAUUGCGCCCGCCAGUAUUCUGGCGGGCAUGCCUGUCCGAGCGUCAUUUCAACCCUCGAACCCCUCCGGGGGGUCGGCGUUGGGGAUCGGCCCCUCACCGGGCCGCCCCCGAAAUACAGUGGCGGUCUCGCCGCAGCCUCUCCUGCGCAGUAGUUUGCACACUCGCACCGGGAGCGCGGCGCGGCCACAGCCGUAAAACACCCCAAACUUCUGAAAUGUUGACCUCGGAUCAGGUAGGAAUACCCGCUGAACUUAAGCAUAUCAAUAAGUCGGAGGAAGA